This 301-nucleotide ribosomal RNA is filed under the name uncultured bacterium. RNAcentral describes it as "partial 16S ribosomal RNA". It matches the Rfam family "Bacterial small subunit ribosomal RNA", at positions 509 to 807 of the family's 1533-position model. The record is from RNAcentral.
CAGUAGCCGCGGUAAUACGUAGGGUGCAAGCGUUAAUCGGAAUUACUGGGCGCAAAGCGUGCGCAGGCGGUUCGUUAAGACAGAUGUGAAAUCCCCGGGCUCAACCUGGGAACUGCAUUUGAGACUGUAUGGCUAGAGUGUGUCAGAGGGGGGUAGAACUCCACGUGUAGCAGUGAAAUGCGUAGAUAUGUGGAGGAAUACCGAUGGCGAAGGCAGCCCCCUGAGAUAACACUGACGCUCACGCACGAAAGCGUGGGGAGCAAACAGGAUUAGAUACCCGAGUAGUCCCUGUCUCUUAUAC